Molecule: long non-coding RNA, 265 nt
Filed under: Trifolium pratense (red clover)
Lineage: Eukaryota; Viridiplantae; Streptophyta; Magnoliopsida; Fabales; Fabaceae
Description: long non-coding RNA (TPRA_LNC009429)
Source: RNAcentral
AGCUUUGUAGAAAACGAGAGGAGAAAUUCAGUAACAAGAAACAGAAAGGAGGAAGCAGAGAACAAAGCAAAUCAAAAGGAAAACAUAAGAGAGAAAAUGUUACUUGUGGAAUUCACUGCACUUCAGGUAACCCUUCAAUCUUCUAACCUCUUAUUGCUAUAAGAGAUAAGGCUUUGGUGUUUUGAAUCUGUUUGUUUGGAUUUUUGGGAUUUUUGGGGUCUAAUCCGGAUUUAAAAUUAAUGGUUAAGAGUUUAAGAAGAAAUUU